CCCUUAGAUGUUCUGGGCCGCACGCGCGCUACACUGACGAAGUCAGCGAGCAUCUCCUUCGCCGAAAGGUGCGGGGAAUCUUGUGAAACUUUGUCGUGCUGGGGAUUGAUUUUUGAAAUUCUUGAUCAUCAACGAGGAAUUCCUAGUAAGCGCAAGUCAGCAGCUUGCGUUGAUUACGUCCCUGCCCUUUGUACACACCGCCCGUCGCUACUGCCAACUGAGAUGGGUCCUGAAUUGUUAGGAACGCCCGUCAAGGGGCCUACCCGGUCCCUAGUGCGGUGACGAGAAUAACUGUAAAUGGCAUAUCUUGUAGGGAGUAAAAGUCGUAACA
Molecule: ribosomal RNA, 331 nt
Filed under: uncultured eukaryote
Lineage: Eukaryota
Description: partial 18S ribosomal RNA
Rfam family: Eukaryotic small subunit ribosomal RNA
Source: RNAcentral